Molecule: non-coding RNA, 45 nt
Filed under: Schistosoma haematobium
Lineage: Eukaryota; Metazoa; Platyhelminthes; Trematoda; Strigeidida; Schistosomatidae
Source: RNAcentral
AUCCAGUUGACGAGUCCCAAAUAAUACGAAAUGCACAUCCUGGAU